Long non-coding RNA from Nicotiana tabacum (common tobacco), 560 nucleotides. RefSeq lists it as uncharacterized. The record is from RefSeq and is a predicted model, not a curated record. Lineage: Eukaryota; Viridiplantae; Streptophyta; Magnoliopsida; Solanales; Solanaceae.
AGUAUUUCCCACUUAUUAUAUUUGGGUCUCCCUCCAGUUUUUUGCAACUCCCGCAUUUAGGUCUCUCACAUCCCUCCAAAAUCCCAAAUCCCUCUUUCCCCAAUCGAUCACAGCUUCUUCCUCUCUCUCUCUCUCUCUCUCUCAUAAAUCUCUAUUUCUAUUUCUACGGCUAAUUGAAAGAAAAGAAAUUCAAAUCAGAACAAGUAGCCGAGGGAUCUAAAACAACUGGCGAAGCUAUUGGGAUCGAGGUUGACAAAAAAAUAUUUGAUAGGCGCCAGAUUUAGGAAGUGAUGCACCGUCACCAGUUGAUCCAAGAAGAUCUUUAGAUGAAAGUAAUAAUGAUUAUCGUCCAAGUGCCAAUUAGUAAUUAUUAUUAUUAGGAUCAACUGACUUUUUUGGGUAUUAUUGUUGAAGAAUGUAAUUGUCACGACUCGGCAUUUCCACCGUCGGGACCGUGAUGGAGCCUAACAUUUCACUUGCUAGGAAAGCCAACGUUGUAAUAAUUUAUCUUUUUUAACAAUUUAAAUUUAAUUAAUGAAGAAGAACUGAUUUAACUGCAA